GAGUUUGAUCCUGGCUCAGGACGAACGCUGACGGUGUGCUUUAGACAUGCAAGUCGAACGAGAAAGCCCUUCGGGGUGAGUAAAGUGGCGAACGGGUGAGUAACACGUGGGCAAUCUGCCCCUCGCAGGGGGAUAACCGGGGGAAACCCUGGCUAAUACCCCGUACGCUUAUGGAGCCGCAUGGUUCCGUAAGGAGAGGUAGCUUCGGCUAUCCGGCGAGGGAUGAGCCCGCGGUACAUUAGCUAGUUGGUGGGGUAACGGCCCACCAAGGCGACGAUGUAUAGCUGGUCUGAGAGGAUGAUCAGCCACACUGGGACUGAGACACGGCCCAGACUCCUACGGGAGGCAGCAGUCGGGAAUCUUGCGCAAUGGGCGAAAGCCUGACGCAGCAACACCGUGUGAGUGAUGAAGGCCUUCGGGUCGUAAAGCUCUGUUGUUGGGGACGAAGGGCAAGGGGUUAAUAGCCCCGAGCUUGACGGUACCCUUCGAGGAAGCCCCGGCUAACUACGUGCCAGCAGCCGCGGUAAUACGUAGGGGGCGAGCGUUGUCCGGAAUUAUUGGGCGUAAAGAGCGUGUAGGCGGUUCGGUAAGUCUGCUGUGAAAACCCAGGGCUCAACCCUGGGCGUGCAGUGGAUACUGCCGGGCUAGAGGGUGGUAGAGGCGAGUGGAAUUCCCAGUGUAGCGGUGAAAUGCGCAGAUAUUGGGAGGAACACCAGUAGCGAAGGCGGCUCGCUGGGCCAUACCUGACGCUGAGACGCGAAAGCUAGGGGAGCGAACAGGAUUAGAUACCCUGGUAGUCCUAGCUGUAAACGAUGAACACUANGUGUGGGCGGAGUCGAAUCUGUCUGUGCCGAANCCANCGCGAUAAGUGUUCCNCCUGGGGAGUACGGCCCAANGCUAAACUCAAAGAAUUGACGGGGGCCCCACAACCACNGAACAUGUUNUUUAUUCAUGCACNCGAAAACCUUACUGNACUUACUGUGUNCANCNCCGNAACUGUGACUNCAGGUGCCCCAAUCUCUGCUUCUCNCUNUUCNGAAUUUGUUAAUCCCACACCACCC
RNAcentral lists this ribosomal RNA (1061 nucleotides) under uncultured bacterium. RNAcentral describes it as "bacterial SSU rRNA". It matches the Rfam family "Bacterial small subunit ribosomal RNA", at positions 9 to 1178 of the family's 1533-position model. The record is from RNAcentral.